Molecule: ribosomal RNA, 495 nt
Filed under: uncultured bacterium
Lineage: Bacteria
Description: partial 16S ribosomal RNA
Rfam family: Bacterial small subunit ribosomal RNA
Source: RNAcentral
GACGAACGCUGGCGGCGUGCCUAAUACAUGCAAGUAGAACGCUGAAGGAGGAGCUUGCUUCUCUGGAUGAGUUGCGAACGGGUGAGUAACGCGUAGGUAACCUGCCUGGUAGCGGGGGAUAACUAUUGGAAACGAUAGCUAAUACCGCAUAAGAUUGACUAUUGCAUGAUAGUCAGUUAAAAGGUGCAAUUGCAUCACUACCAGAUGGACCUGCGUUGUAUUAGCUAGUUGGUGGGGUAACGGCUCACCAAAGCGACGAUACAUAGCCGACCUGAGAGGGUGGACGGCCACACUGGGACUGGGACAAGGCUCAGACUCCUACGGGAGGCAGCAGUAGGGAAUCUUCGGCAAUGGACGGAAGGCUGACCGAACAACGCCGCGUGAGUGAAGGAGGUUUUCGGAUCGUAAAGCUCUGUUGUAAGGGAAGAACGAGUGUGAGAGUGGAAAGUUCACACUGUGACGGUAUCUUACCAGAAAGCGACGGCUAACUACGUG